UUUCCUUAUUUAAAAAUUCAGCAUUAAAAGAAUGACCAUUGAGGUUAGCGUGUGCCGGGGGUGCUGGGGGCUCGAGAACUGAGCGGAGCUGGUUGAGCCUUGAAAGUGCUAAAACGCGCGGCCGUGUUAUUGAUUGAAUUCCAGCGGCGCGGGAGCCUCUGCAGAGAACGCGAGAGAUGAAGAUGGGCAGACGGAUUCAUUUAGAGCUGCGGAACAGGACGCCCUCUGAUGUGAAAGAACUUGUCCUGGACAACAGUCGGUCGAAUGAAGGCAAACUCGAAGGCCUCACAGAUGAAUCUGAAUAACUGGAAUUCUUCAGUGCAACCAACGUAGGCCUCACCUCAACUGCAAACUUACCGAAGUUAAACAAACUUAAGAAGCUUGAACUAAGCGAUAACAGAGUCUCGGGGGGCGUGGAAGCAUUGGCAGAAAAGUGUCCGAACCUCACGCAUCUAAAUUUAUGUGGCAACAAAAUUAAAGACCUCAGCACAACAGAGCCACUGAAAAACUUAGAAAACCUCAAGAGCUUAGACCUUUUCAAUUGCGAGGUAACCAACCUGAACGACUACCGAGAAAAUGUGUUCAAGCUCCUCCUGCAACUCACAUAUCUUGACGGCUAUGACCGGGACGACAAGGAGGCCCCUAACUUGGAUGCUGAGGGCUACGUGGAGGGCCUGGAGGAGGAGGAGGAGGAUGAGGAUGAGGAGGAGUAUGACGAAGAUGCUCAGGUAGUGGAGGACGAGGAGGAGGAGGAAGGUGAAGAGGAGGACGUGAGUGGAGAGGAGGAGGAGGAUGAAAAAGGUUAUAACGAUGGAGAGGUUGAUGAUGAGGAAGAUGAAGAAGAGCUCCGUGAAGAAGAAAGGGGUCAGAAGCGAAAAGGAGAACCUGAAGAUGAGGGAGAAGAUGAUGACUAAGUGGAAUAACCUAUUUUGAAAAAUUCCUAUUGUGAUUUGACUGUUUUUACCCAUAUCCCCUCCCCCGCUCCAAUCCUGCCCCCUGAAACUUAUUUUUUUUUCUGAUUGUAACGUUGCUGUGGGAACGAGAGGGG
Homo sapiens (human) is the source of this 1048-nucleotide RNA transcript. It is a transcript of the gene named acidic nuclear phosphoprotein 32 family member A pseudogene 1, with no coding region annotated. The record is from RefSeq and is marked validated. The transcript has a single exon. NCBI's taxonomy places the organism in Eukaryota, Metazoa, Chordata, Mammalia, Primates, Hominidae.